This is a long non-coding RNA of Etheostoma spectabile (orangethroat darter), 194 nucleotides long. RefSeq lists it as uncharacterized. The transcript has 2 exons. Lineage: Eukaryota; Metazoa; Chordata; Actinopteri; Perciformes; Percidae. The record is from RefSeq and is a predicted model, not a curated record.
AUCUCACUUCUGUUCCAUCUUUGUUGGAAGUCGCGAAUGUGCAGUACCUAGGUAAGGACUACUAGCCAGUCAGAAGCAGAGUAUGAGGACGUGCCCUGGCAGUACCCAGGUAAGGACUACUAGCCAGUAUGAAGCAGAGUAGGAGGGCGUGCCCUGGCAGUACCCAGGUAAGGACUACUAGCCAGUCAGAAGCA